GGAGAGAUGGCUGAGUGGGUUGAUAGCCCCGGUCUUGAAAACCGGUAUAGUUCUUAACAAGGAACUAUCG
RNAcentral lists this transfer RNA (70 nucleotides) under Catasetum bertioguense. RNAcentral describes it as "tRNA-Ser". The record is from RNAcentral. RNAcentral also lists the same sequence under 2 other names. Lineage: Eukaryota; Viridiplantae; Streptophyta; Magnoliopsida; Asparagales; Orchidaceae.